This 440-nucleotide ribosomal RNA is filed under the name uncultured bacterium. RNAcentral's name for it is "partial 16S ribosomal RNA". It matches the Rfam family "Bacterial small subunit ribosomal RNA", at positions 338 to 795 of the family's 1533-position model. The record is from RNAcentral.
CCUACGGGUGGCAGCAGUGGGGAAUAUUGGACAAUGGGGGAAGCCCUGAUCCAGCGACGCCGCGUGAGUGAAGACGUAUUUCGGUACGGUAAGCUCUAUCAGCAGGAAAGAAAAUGACGGUACCUGACUAAGAAGCCCCGUCUAACUACGUGCCAGCAGCCGCGGUAAUACGUAGGGGGCAAGCGUUAUCCGGAUUUACUGGGGUUAAAGGGAGCGUAGGCGGCAGCGCAAGUCUGGAGUGAAAUGCCGGGGCCCAACCCCGGAACUGCUGUGGAAACUGGGAAGCUGGAGUGCAGGAGAGGUAAGCGGAAUUCCUGGUGUAGCGGUGAAAUGCGUAGAGAUCAGGAUGAACACCGGCGGCGAAGGCGGCUUACUGGACUGUAACUGACGUUGAGGCUCGAAGGCGUGGGUAGCAAACAGGAUUAGAUACCCGGGUAGUC